AACGCACAUUGCGCCCUGUGGUAUUCCGCAGGGCAUGCCUGUUCGAGCGUCAGUACAACACUCAAGCCUAGCUUGGUCUUGGGCCUCGCCGGAGAUGGCGGGCCUUAAAAUCAGUGGCGGCGCCUGUUAGGCCCUAAGCGUAGUAAUACUCCUCGCUACAGGGACCCGGCAGACGCUGGCCAGCAACCCCCAACUUUCUAAGUUUGACCUCGGAUCAGGUAGGGAUACCCGCUGAACUUAA
This 241-nucleotide unclassified non-coding RNA is filed under the name uncultured fungus. RNAcentral's name for it is "partial contains 5.8S ribosomal RNA, internal transcribed spacer 2, and large subunit ribosomal RNA". The stretch from base 1 to 52 matches the Rfam family "5.8S ribosomal RNA", at positions 103 to 154 of the family's 154-position model. Lineage: Eukaryota; Fungi. The record is from RNAcentral.